UAUCCUAUGUUGCCAGCGAGUAAAGUCGGGAACUCAUGGGAGACUGCCGUCGACAAGACGGAGGAAGGCGGGGAUGACGUCAAGUCAUCAUGCCCCUUAUGUCCUGGGCUACACACGUACUACAAUGGCCGGUAACAGAGGGCAGCGAAGCCGCGAGGUGAAGCGAAUCUCAAAAACCCGGUCCCAGUUCGGAUUGCAGGCUGCAACUCGCCUGCAUGAAGUCGGAAUCGCUAGUAAUCGCAGGUCAGCAUACUGCGGUGAAUACGUUCCCGGGCCUUGUACACACCGCCCGUCACACCACGAGAGUUGGAGACACCCGAAGCCGGUGAGGUAACCGUAAGGAGCCAGCCAUCGAAGGUGGAGUCGAUGAUUGGGGUGAAGUCGUAACAAGG
Molecule: ribosomal RNA, 392 nt
Rfam family: Bacterial small subunit ribosomal RNA